This 436-nucleotide long non-coding RNA is filed under the name Theobroma cacao (cacao). RNAcentral describes it as "long non-coding RNA (TCAC_LNC002604)". Lineage: Eukaryota; Viridiplantae; Streptophyta; Magnoliopsida; Malvales; Malvaceae. The record is from RNAcentral.
UGAACUCCAAAUCACACGUCUUUACAAGUAACUACAACAUCUCAUUCAAAAGACUCCAUAUCAUCUCAGUAUUAUUUGAUUUGUUGAGGAUGCAUGUGUGGCAUUUUCUUUUAAUGCUCACUAAAACCAACUUACGCUCUGGCUUUGAUUCAAUUGAGUCUUACUCCAGAAAACAUCAAUAGGCAAGGAAGCAAAAAACCACUUCCAAAAAAAAAACAAAAAAAAAUAGAGUGAAAUAGAGUGAAGGAAACUUGCACUUCGAGAGGAACGGUGGGUAGGUUUUUUUAGAAAGAGAGGAAAUUGGUGGUAGAAGGAAGGGGAAGAAAAGAGGAAAGGGAAAGAAAGAGGGAGUUGUUGCCGAAAAUGCCCGGUCUGGCAAAGGCGACGACGUCGGUGGCUGAGUUAGGGAGAGAGGGUUUAGAGAAAUGGGUUGGUU